Molecule: long non-coding RNA, 572 nt
Filed under: Pan troglodytes (chimpanzee)
Lineage: Eukaryota; Metazoa; Chordata; Mammalia; Primates; Hominidae
Description: lincRNA
Source: RNAcentral
GGGUUUGGUAGCCACUUGAUGCUCCUUAGUCAUGCAUUUAGCCUCUCCAGCACCCAGCAGCAAGGCAGGAGCUAUUCAAAUGGAGAAUAAUUGGCAGAAGACCAAACAGUCUUACUCUACUAAAACCCUAGAGGACUUGUGCCUUCGGAUCCUGAUUUAUUAAGUGAGAAGUCCACUAUCCUGAAGCUGCUAUGCCGGAGAGACUAUGUGAAAAGAUCAUAUAGAAGUAGAAAGAUGCCCAAGAAGCCAUAUAUGCUUCUUCCUGUAGCUGUUUCAGUCUGCCCACCCAGGGAUCGGACAUGUUAGAGAAAGAGUCUUAAAGAUUAUCCCAACCCCAGCCACCACGUGACUGCAACCUCAUGAAAACCCCACACCAGAACAGUGGUAUCAGCUCAAACUUUGCAAGGGCUAGGAGACUGAGGGCAGCUGACCAGAUUUAUGUGAUUGAGCCUAAUAAACUGGCCUGAGUAAGCUUCCCUGGUUGACAAUAUUCUGCGAGUAUUAUCACACACUGGAUGUCAGGAAAUUAACACUGUCCACAACUCAUGGAAAGGACAACUGGGAGUUCUGUG